This 497-nucleotide ribosomal RNA is filed under the name uncultured bacterium. Its description in RNAcentral is "partial 16S ribosomal RNA". It matches the Rfam family "Bacterial small subunit ribosomal RNA", at positions 28 to 507 of the family's 1533-position model. The record is from RNAcentral.
GAUGAACGCUGGCGGCGUGCUUAAUACAUGCAAGUCGAGCGAACAGACGAGGAGCUUGCUCCACUGACGUUAGCGGCGGAAGGGUGAGUAACACGUGGGUAACCUACCUAUAAGACUGGGCUAACUUCGGGAAACUGAUGCUAAUACCGGAUAAUAUUUCGAACCGCAUGGUUCGAUAGUGAAAGCUGGCUUUGCUAUCCCUUAUAGCUGGCCCUGGGCCGUAUUAGCUAGUUGGUACGGUAACGGCUUACCAAGGCAACGCUACGUAGCCGACCUGAGAGGGUGAUCGGCCGCACUGGAGCUGAGACACGGGCCAGACUCCUACGGGAGGCAGCGGUAGGGAAUCUUCCGCAAUGGGCGAAAGCCUGACGGAGCAACGCCGCGGGAGUGAGGAAGGUCUUCGGAUCGUAGAACACUGUUAUUAGGGAAGAACAAACGUGUAAGGAACUGGGCACGUCUUGACGGUACCUAAACAGAAAGCCACGGCUAACUACGUG